Long non-coding RNA from Mauremys mutica (yellowpond turtle), 1961 nucleotides. RefSeq lists it as uncharacterized. Lineage: Eukaryota; Metazoa; Chordata; Testudines; Geoemydidae. The record is from RefSeq and is a predicted model, not a curated record. The transcript has 3 exons.
GCCAUGAGAGGCGGAAGUGGAGUCGAUGGGGGAGGGGCAGCAUUUUAGGUCAAACCUCCCCCUCCACCCCCACCCCUUAGCAUAGACCAGGGCCUAGUGUGUUUCUCAUUUGCUUCCAGAAGCUUCAGCUCCCUGCUCCCCCUGCUGGGGCUGCUCCAUUCCCAGGGGCACAGACACAGCCAGGAAGGCGUCAGAAGCUUUUAUUGAGGAGGGAGCAGAGGAGGCCGGUACCAGCUUUAUACCCCAGAGGGAAACUCCCUCCCCUAAGGCAGCCUCCACUCCCAGGCCGGGGAACAGAGAGGAAGGUGCAGCACUGGGGAAGAGCUGCUUAAAACCAGAGAGUAGGAGGUGGCAUUAGGUGGGGGAGCCCCAUCCCCAGCCUAGAGAGAAGGGAGGAGCUGGCAGCAUCACAGGGAGAGCAUCUCCCCAAUCCAGGAAGCAGUGAGCAGCUCCAAUGGGAGAGCCCAGCCCUGCCCACAGGAAAGGCAGGAUGUUGGAGAAGAGCGAUGGGGAGACCUCUCCACUAGGGUGAAGCAGAGGGAUGUGUGAGCCCUCAGGGCAGAGAGCUCUGUUCGGGUGCUGCUCAGUGAGUGUUUCUGUUCAUCAGUGUGGGCAUGAACUCAGCACUAAGGUUGGUGUCAGGAGUGUUUGUGUGAUGUCAGUCUGGGAUCUCCCCACAAGUUCUGGAACCUUGGUACAAGUUGCUGUGGGGGGCACGAGGUCUCUCCACCUAUGGCCACAUCCCCUCCAUGGCCCUGCCCCACUCCCCCUCUUCCCACUGAGGCCCUGCCCCCUGGCCAGGCUGAGAACUUGGCUGCUGUGGAGAGCUUCUAAUCCUCCACCUCUGCUGGUGCAGACGGCAGAGUGUCUGGAGGGGAAAGGAUAAGAGAGGCAUCUCCCAGCAAUGGACCCAACAUCCUUGUGAAUUCCCAACUUGUCAAAAGAUAUGAAAUUGUAGAAAAGACCCUUGGGUUCUGAUUCUGUCAUCCGAGAUCUGCUUAGGUUUCAUCAGGGGAAGUUUGAGUCGCAAGACUGAGGUCCCAGUUAUGCUGGUGCGCCCUCAAGGUGAUAUUGGACACUGGACUAUGAACUAUUUCUGAAAGAACUCUUUACAGCUAGAAAACUCGCCAUCUCCGCUAUGAAUCUGAACCUUGAUGAAUCAAACGCAUGUCUGUGUGUAUACUGAUCUGUUAACCAUACUCUCUCUCUUUUGUUUUUUAAUAUAGUAUAGUUUCGUUAACAAGAAAUGGCUGUAGCGUGUAUUUGGGUAAGAUCUGAAACAUUUGUUAACCUGAGGCGUAAUGUGUCCAAUCCUUUGGGAUUGGUAGAACCUUUUCUGUUAUAUGAUGAAGUAAGAUUUUCAGAAAUCAUCGUAUUUGACACUAAGGGAAAUGUUUCCUUAAGUGACCUUGUUAUUAAGUGAUGUGUUCAUAAGUUCCUUUGUGGGACAAAGAGAAGUUUCGACCACACAAUGUGCUUAAAGACACCAGACACCCAUAAUGUGCUGCCCAGGAGCAGUUAGCAAAGUCCAAAAAAUCCAAUGUGGAGAAACGGGUCUAAGUGACCCGUGCACGUCAGUGUGUAAUGACUGGUAAUGAACGAAUCAGAAACGAGAAUAACUUGAAAAUAGCUUGGACAGCAAAAGCCCUGCCAGUUAGAAGAUACUUACAAUGCAUAACACAUGCAUGUGUAGUGUUUGAGUUAUACAAGAUACUUCCUAUUCAUAACAUUCAAAGGUGAUUGGAAAAGAACUAAUAAAUAUAUACUCUGGAUGUGUGUAAUACGUCAGACAUUGUAAGGAGCAUCAUAGGAGAAAUGCAUCAUGACCUGCCUAUGCCCUAGGAGAAGGUAACUGGGCAGUAUUUCUUUCAGUAUGUCUGUCAUUUCUUACUUCAACAGUAAGUAUAAUGGCAAGACAUGCUUUUGGAACAAAUAACGGGUUGAAUUAAUCAGUCUGAGUG